RNAcentral lists this ribosomal RNA (253 nucleotides) under uncultured bacterium. RNAcentral describes it as "partial 16S ribosomal RNA". It matches the Rfam family "Bacterial small subunit ribosomal RNA", at positions 524 to 776 of the family's 1533-position model. The record is from RNAcentral.
AACGUAGGAGACGAACGUUAUCCGGAGUUACUGGGCGUAAAGGGCGUGCAGGCGGUCUGAUAAGUUCGGCGUGAAAUAUUCCGGCUUAACCGGGAUAGGUCGUCGGAGACUGUCGGACUAGAGGGUGAUAGAGGCGUGUGGAAUUCCGGGUGUAGUGGUGAAAUGCGUAGAUAUCAGGAGGAACACCGGUGGUGUAAACGGCUUUCUGGACCAUAACUGACGCUGAGGCACGAAAGCGUGGGUAGCAAACAGG